AGGACGAACGCUGGCGGCGUGCUUAACACAUGCAAGUCGAGCGGAAAGGCCCUUCGGGGUACGUCGAGCGGCGAACGGGUGAGUAACACGUGAGCAACCUGCCCUUAGCUUCGGGAUAGCUCCCGGGAAACGGGAAUUAAUACCGGAUACGACUGUGGUAGACAUCUACCACGGUGAAAAGAAUUUCGGCUAGGGAUGGGCUCGCGGUCUAUCAGCUAGUUGGUGGGGUAACGGCCUACCAAGGCGACGACGGAUA
RNAcentral lists this ribosomal RNA (256 nucleotides) under uncultured bacterium. Its description in RNAcentral is "partial small subunit ribosomal RNA". It matches the Rfam family "Bacterial small subunit ribosomal RNA", at positions 26 to 285 of the family's 1533-position model. The record is from RNAcentral.